AGAGAGAGAGAGAGAGAGAAGGAGAGAGUGAGAGAGCAGGGGAGAGAGAGAGAGAGAGUGAAAGAAAGAAAGAGGUAAAACAAAAUAAAAGAAAUAGUGAUAUAGUUUCUGGUGGCACUAAGGAACACUGGACAUACAGAGUUAAUGGUAUCAACUUGUUGAUAGUUUAAAUAUAUGACAUGAGGUGUUGAUUAGACACCUGGAGAUGGAAAACUUUAAAACUUGAGUGAACUAUGGAAGACGAGCCCAUAUUUUUAGUUAAUCCCAGAAGUUUGUAUUUCUGAGUGACAUAAAGCAUUGCUGUGUGGGUGAUUCCACUAUUGGUGUACCAUUUAACCCUUAUAAUUUCUGCAAAAUGAAAAAUCAUUAUUCCAACACUAAUUCUCAAAAAAAAAAACAUGCAUUUAGCCAUAAAAUUCUUUAUGGCUUUAAAUGUGUUAACCAAGGGAAAUUGUAAUGCUACAAAAGACACUCUUGACAAUUCUGUGCCACUUUGUGGCAACAGUUUGGGAAAGACUCACAUAUGGGUGUGACAGUCAUGUGUUCACAUAUUUUUGGCCAUAUAGUGUAGCAUAAUCUAAUCAAAAAAGAUAUUUGAAUUUUUGCAGUCCUGCAUUUGGGGCAUUAACUAACUACACUUCUAGACCAAUAGCCAUUCUGUGUGACAGUGAAGUGAUGGUGACCUCCAAACUACCUAUGUACAUGUGAAGGGAAUUAUUUAUAGCAUACUGUAUUCUGUAGUAGAGUGCACAGUGGCUUAGUGGUUAGCAGGUCUGCCUCACACCUCCAAGGUUGUGGGUUCGAUUCCCACAGCAGUAUACUGCCCUGUGUGUGUGGAAUGUGCUGGUUCUCCCUGUGCUGCAGGGGUUCCUCUGGGUACUCUGGUUUCCUCCCCCAGUCCAAAGACAUGCAUUGUUGGAUGAUUGGCAUGUCAAAAUUGUCCAUAGUAUACGAAUGUGUGUGAGUGUGCCCUGUGAUGGAUUUGUACCCUGCCUUGUGCCUGAUGCUCCCUGUGAUAUGCUCCAGGUUCAACCCUGUCGGAUAAACAGUACAGAAAAUGGACGGAUGGAUGGAACAAGCACAUAUGGGCGUGAUGUCAGGUGUCCACAAACUUUUAGCCAUACAGAGUAGUAUUCACUGAAGAUUAGUCACAGGACGCAACGAUAAGGCGAGCGGAACCAUUUAUCCGCCAGCUUAAGUUUCCGCUGGGGCGCGUUUGUGCUGCACAGCGGAGUAUGACAGUUUGUAAACACAUUCAGGGAUGCUGAAUGUGCUGUUCCGGCAUUGGCCAGAGGUGAUGUAAUACCCUCUAAAUAAUGCAUGGCCUUAAGAAAGUGAAAGACCAUGAGGCAGAAAGCACAGGCAGAGGAAAUCGAUGUCAGUGUGAGAGAGAGGGAAACCUGCAAGAGUCUGGGCAGAAGACAGCAUCACACAGAAAGAAAUAGCAACAGACAGUGGAGAACCCCACCUCAGAACAACGGGAUGAUCUGACCACCUCCAAAACCAGGAUGUUGAAGCCUUGGGUGGACCAUUGCUCCGUACACCACAUUUCAGUCCCUUUCAUUGAGAUAUUGCUGCCUCCUGACUUGAACGCAUGCAACACCUAAGCUAAACAACACCAUGAUGGGAUCGAACCACCAUUCUUAGCCACCACUUUUCUUAAAACAACAGAGACA
Molecule: long non-coding RNA, 1676 nt
Organism: Ictalurus punctatus (channel catfish)
Lineage: Eukaryota; Metazoa; Chordata; Actinopteri; Siluriformes; Ictaluridae
Source: Ensembl